CGUGAGCUCAGGCAGGUCACCCCACUCUCUGUGCCUCAGCUUCCUUGCCUGUGAAAUGGAGCUAAUCCUGGCUUCCACAUGAAGCUCCUGUGAGGAAUAAAUGAGCGAAUGCAGGUAAAGGGCUUAGGAAGUACUCGAUGGAUGCUAACCGAAAAAAUGCUACAGUCUUGGUGUUUUAACUUAGAAUCCGCGGACAGCAUCGAAGUCAGGAACGCUCCCUGGUCCACUUUUGCUUUGAGUUUUAGGUAGCCGCUCUCCUCUCUGGUGUGGUUGGAAGAAGAGCCUCCCGCCCCAGCUGUCCCUUCCGAGUGGGCCUCGGUGUCUGGGCUAUCUAGACGGAGCUGCCAUUUCCACCUGGAGGUCUGGGUCUGUUGCUCACAGGGCCUCUGCAUAGGCUGGGACUGCCGGCUAGGCCAGGAGACCUGGCAGCUGCGGACUCCCCAGCUCGGAGCAGCCCCUCUUUGGUGAGUGGUAGAGCCCUUCCUGCCUUUGCUCUGGGAGCAGCCCCAGCCCUCCUCCAGGGCCCGGGAGCUGAGCCAGCCUCUCUUGGGGGCGACUUCCAGAUGCUCAGGCUGGCACCUUGCUCUGGACCUUCCCUGGUGUCCUGCCCUGCCCUCCUGCCCUGCCCCUACCUU
This 635-nucleotide long non-coding RNA is filed under the name Zalophus californianus (California sea lion). RNAcentral describes it as "lncRNA (ENSZCAG00015007730.1)". Lineage: Eukaryota; Metazoa; Chordata; Mammalia; Carnivora; Otariidae. The record is from RNAcentral.